AUUCCAGCUCCAAUAGCGUAUAUUAAAGUUGUUGCGGUUAAAAAGCUCGUAGUUGGAUUUCUGUUGAGGACGACCGGUCCGCCCUCUGGGUGAGCAUCUGGCUCGGCCUUGGCAUCUUCUUGGUGAACGUAGCUGCACUUGACUGUGUGGUACGGUAACCAGGACUUUUACUUUGAGGAAAUUAGAGUGUUUCAAGCAGGCAUACGCCUUGAAUACAUUAGCAUGGAAUAAUAAGAUAGGACCUCGGUUCUAUUUUGUUGGUUUCUAGAGCUGAGGUAAUGAUUAAUAGGGAUAGUUGGGGGCAUUCGUAUUUAACUGUCAGAGGUGAAAUUCUUGGAUUUGUUAAAGACGAACUACUGCGAAGGCAUUUGCCAAGGAUGUUUUCAUCA
RNAcentral lists this ribosomal RNA (389 nucleotides) under Dinophyceae sp. RNAcentral's name for it is "partial small subunit ribosomal RNA". It matches the Rfam family "Eukaryotic small subunit ribosomal RNA", at positions 582 to 975 of the family's 1831-position model. Lineage: Eukaryota; Dinophyceae. The record is from RNAcentral.